AGGGUUUGAUUCUGGCUCAGGACGAACGCUGGCGGCGUGCUUAACACAUGCAAGUCGAACGGGAUCCAUCUUAGCUUGCUAGGGUGGUGAGAGUGGCGAACGGGUGAGUAACGCGUGAUCAACCUGCCGCAUAGUGGGGAAUAGCUCCUGGAAACGGGUGGUAAUGCCCUAUGCUCCAACUACUCGCAUGGGUUGUUGGGAAAGCCUUGUGUGCUAUGUGAUGGGAUCGCGUCCUAUCAGCUUGUUGGUGGGGUAGUGGCCUACCAAGGCUUCGACGGGUAGCCGGCCUGAGAGGGCGACCGGCCACAUUGGGACUGAGAUACGGCCCAGACUCCUACGGGAGGCAGCAGUGGGGAAUAUUGCACAAUGGGGGGAACCCUGAUGCAGCGACGCCGCGUGCGGGAUGACGGCCUUCGGGUUGUAAACCGCUUUUAUUAAGGAGCAAGCGAGAGUGAGUGUACUUUUUGAAUAAGCACCGGCUAACUACGUGCCAGCAGCCGCGGUAAUACGUAGGGUGCAAGCGUUGUCCGGAAUUAUUGGGCGUAAAGAGCUCGUAGGCGGUUUGUCGCGUCUGGUGUGAAAGUCCAUCGCUUAACGGUGGAUCUGCGCUGGGUACGGGCAGGCUAGAGUGUAGUAGGGGAGACUGGAAUUCCCGGUGUAACGGUGGAAUGUGUAGAUAUCGGGAAGAACACCAAUGGCGAAGGCAGGUCUCUGGGCUAUGACUGACGCUGAGGAGCGAAAGCGUGGGGAGCGAACAGGAUUAGAUACCCUGGUAGUCCACGCCGUAAACGGUGGAUGCUGGAUGUGGGGCCCUUUCCACGGGUUCUGUGUCGGAGCUAACGCGUUAAGCAUCCCGCCUGGGGAGUACGGCCGCAAGGCUAAAACUCAAAGAAAUUGACGGGGGCCCGCACAAGCGGCGGAGCAUGCGGAUUAAUUCGAUGCAACGCGAAGAACCUUACCAAGACUUGACAUAAUUACGACUACUCUAGAGAUAGGGUUUCCUCUUUUGGGGCGUUUUUACAGGUGGUGCAUGGUCGUCGUCAGCUCGUGUCGUGAGAUGUUGGGUUAAGUCCCGCAACGAGCGCAACCCUUGUCUUGUGUUGCCAGCACGUUAUGGUGGGAACUCACAAGAGACCGCCGGGGUUAACUCGGAGGAAGGUGGGGAUGACGUCAGAUCAUCAUGCCCCUUACGUCUUGGGCUUCACGCAUGCUACAAUGGCCGGUACAGCGAGGUGCGAUAGGGUGACCUGGAGCGGAUCUUGUAAAACCGGUCUCAGUUCGGAUUGAAGCCUGCAACUCGGCUUCAUGAAGGUGGAGUCGCUAGUAAUCGCAGAUCAGCAGUGCUGCGGUGAAUGCGUUCCCGGGCCUUGUACACACCGCCCGUCAAGUCAUGAAAGUGGGCAACACCCGAAGCCGGUGGCCUAACAGUUUACUCUGGGGGAGCCGUCUAAGGUGAGGUCCGCGAUUGGGACUAAGUCGUAACAAGGUAGCCGUACCGGAAGGUGCGGCUGGAUCACCU
This 1519-nucleotide ribosomal RNA is filed under the name Alloscardovia macacae. RNAcentral's name for it is "bacterial SSU rRNA". It matches the Rfam family "Bacterial small subunit ribosomal RNA". Lineage: Bacteria; Bacillati; Actinomycetota; Actinomycetes; Bifidobacteriales; Bifidobacteriaceae. The record is from RNAcentral.